RNAcentral lists this ribosomal RNA (1842 nucleotides) under Triticum aestivum (bread wheat). RNAcentral's name for it is "partial small subunit ribosomal RNA". Lineage: Eukaryota; Viridiplantae; Streptophyta; Magnoliopsida; Poales; Poaceae. The record is from RNAcentral.
UCGCCCUCGCGCGCCAUGUCCGAGGAGGACGAGGACCAGGCGGGGGCGCCGCCCAAGCGGCCGCGCGCGGCGUCGCCGCCUCCGCCGCCGCCGCCGCCCGACCAGGUGCUCGACAACGUGCUCGAGACGGUGCUCCAGUUCCUCAGGGCCCCGGGCGACCGUGGCGCGGCCUCCCUCGUCUGCCGCUCCUGGCACCGCGCCGAGUCCGCCACCCGCGCCUCCCUCGCCGUCCGCAACAUCCUCGCCGCCUCCCCGGCCCGCGCUGCGCGCCGCUUCCCCAACGCGCACCACAUCCUCCUCAAGGGCCGCCCCCGCUUCGCCGACUUCAACCUGCUGCCCCCCGGCUGGGCCGCCUCCGCCUUCCGCCCCUGGGUCGCCGCCCUCGCCGCCGCCGCCUUCCCCGCGCUCCGCUCCCUCUCCCUCAAGCGCAUCACCGUCACCGACGACGACCUCGACCUCCUCGCCCGCUCCCUCCCGCCCUCCUUCCGCGAGCUCUCCCUCCUCCUCUGCGACGGCUUCUCCUCCCGCGGCCUCGCCUCCCUCGCCUCCCAUUGCAGAGGGCUGCGUGUGCUCGACGUGGUGGACUGCGAGCUCAACGAGGAGGAGGACGACGAGGUGUCGGACUGGGUGGCGGCGUUCCCGCGGGGGCACACCGACCUGGAGUCCCUCUCCUUCGAGUGCUUCACCCCGCAGGUACCGUUCGCCGCGCUCGAGGCUCUCGUGGCGCGCUCGCCGCGCCUCCGUCGCCUGCGCGUCAACCAGCACGUCUCGCUCGGUCAGCUGCGCCGGCUCAUGGCGCUCACGCCCCGCCUCACGCACCUCGGCACGGGCUCGUUCCGGCCGGGGGACGGCGCCGAGGACGAGGGGCUCGACUUCGGCCAGAUGCUGACCGCCUUCGCGUCGGCCGGCCGGGCCAACUCGCUGGUCUCGCUCUCCGGCUUCCGUGAUCUCGCGCCGGAGUACCUGCCGACCAUUGCCACGGUCGCUGCCAACUUAACCAGCAUGGACCUGAGCUACGCCCCUGUCAACCCCGACCAAGUCCUGCUCUUCAUCGGGCAAUGCCGCAGCCUUGAGACGCUAUGGGUGCUCGACUCAGUGCGCGACGAGGGGCUCCAAGCCGUGGCGAUGUGCUGCAAGAAGCUCCAGGUUCUCCGCGUGCUCCCAUUGGACGCGCACGAGGACGCAGAUGAGCUGGUGUCGGAGGUCGGGCUCACCGCCAUCUCCGAGGGCUGCCGUGACCUUCGGUCCAUUCUCUACUUCUGCCAGAGGAUGACCAACGCCGCCGUCAUCUCCAUGUCGCACAACUGCCCCGAGAUGAAGGUGUUCCGGCUAUGCAUAAUGGGGAGGCACCGGCCUGACCACGUGACGGGGGAGCCGAUGGACGAAGGGUUCGGCGCCAUUGUCCGCAACUGCAGCAAGCUCACCAGGCUCUCCACGUCCGGGCACCUGACGGAUCGAGCGUUCGAGUACAUUGGCAAGUACGGCAGCUCCUUGCGGACGCUCUCCGUGGCGUUCGCCGGGGACAGUGAUCUGGCGCUGCAGCACAUCCUCCAGGGCUGCUCCAAGCUGGAGAAGCUCGAGAUAAGGGACUGCCCGUUCGGCGACGCCGGCCUCCUCUCCGGCAUGCACCAUUUCUACAACAUGCGGUUCGUCUGGAUGUCGGGCUGCAGCCUGACGCUGCAAGGCUGCCAGGAGGUGGCGCGGCAGCUCCCACGGAUGGUGGUGGAGCUGAUAAACAGCCAGCCUGAGAUCGAGAAGACAGACGGCGUCGACAUCCUAUACAUGUAUCGAUCACUGGAGGGGCCAAGGGAGGAUGUUCCACCAUUUGUGAAGAUCCUGUAA